UUGACCCAAGAGCGCCUGACCCGAGGACGCUUGACUCGAGAACGCCUGACCCGAGGAUGCCUGAUCGGAGAAUGCCUAAUCCGAUGAUGCCUGACCGAAGGAAACCUACUCCCCAAUGAUACAUGACCGGAGGCUCCACCUUCUCCCCGAGAACGCUUGACCCGAGGAUGCCUGAUCGGAGAAUGUCUAACUCGAGGAUGCCUGACCGAAUGAGAC
RNAcentral lists this long non-coding RNA (216 nucleotides) under Solanum tuberosum (potato). RNAcentral's name for it is "long non-coding RNA (STUB_LNC003826)". The record is from RNAcentral. Lineage: Eukaryota; Viridiplantae; Streptophyta; Magnoliopsida; Solanales; Solanaceae.